CAGCCCUAAACGAUGCGCGUUAGGUGUAUCGGUGACCACGAGUCACCGAGGUGCCGAAGGGAAACCGUGAAACGUGCCGCCUGGGAAGUACGGUCGCAAGGCUGAAACUUAAAGGAAUUGGGCGGGGGGAGCCACCACAACGGGUGGAGCCUGCGGUUUAAUUGGACUCAACGCCGGGAAGCUCACCGGAUAAGACAGCGGAAUGAUUGCCGGGCUGAAGACCCUGCAUGACCAGCUGAGAGGAGGUGCAUGGCGUAGUCGUGU
This 264-nucleotide ribosomal RNA is filed under the name uncultured archaeon. RNAcentral's name for it is "partial 16S ribosomal RNA". It matches the Rfam family "Archaeal small subunit ribosomal RNA", at positions 748 to 1009 of the family's 1478-position model. The record is from RNAcentral.